UGAGGGCACAGGUAGGGGACUUUCAUUCAACACCCUGUGAACCUUUGGCCUAUUGCUAGCUUCGGCUGGCAGAGGAUUUUUACACACACUCGAAUGUAAUGAAAUUAUUGUCGUGCGCAAGCACUUAUGUACAACUUUCAACAACGGAUCUCUUGGCUCUCGCAUCGAUGAAGAACGCAGCGAAAUGCGAUAAGUAAUGUGAAUUGCAGAAUUCAGUGAAUCAUCGAAUCUUUGAACGCACCUUGCACCCUUUGGCAUUCCGAAGGGUAUGCUCGUUUGAGUGUCAUUGUACUCUCACACUUCUGAUCCUUUGGAUUUGGAGCGGUGGACUUGGGUGUUGCCACUUGACGGUGGCUCACCUCUAAUGCAUUAGUGCAACUCCUGGUUGGACCAUAGUACGGCGUGAUAAGUGUCUUCGCCGGCACCUCGUGAGAGGGUGGCCGAUCGAGAGCUCUGUGCUUUCAAACCGUCCUUGCAAGGACAAUGACUGACAACUUGACCUCAAAUCGAGUAGGACUACCCGCUGAACUUAAGCAUAUCAAU
This 543-nucleotide ribosomal RNA is filed under the name uncultured Sebacina. RNAcentral describes it as "eukaryotic LSU rRNA". The stretch from base 133 to 286 matches the Rfam family "5.8S ribosomal RNA". The record is from RNAcentral. Lineage: Eukaryota; Fungi; Basidiomycota; Agaricomycetes; Sebacinales; Sebacinaceae.